GCUCCAUGUCCCUCUAACCAUCAGGUCCUAAUGGCUCCAUGUCCCUCUAACCAUCAGGUCCUAAUGGCUCCAUGUCCCUCUAACCAUCAGGUCCUAAUGGCUCCAUGUCCCUCUAACCAUCAGGUCCUAAUGGCUCCAUGUCCCUCUAACCAUCGGGUCCUAAUGGCUCCAUGUCCCUCUAACCAUCGGGUCCUAAUGGCUCCAUGUCCC
This is a long non-coding RNA of Oncorhynchus keta (chum salmon), 210 nucleotides long. RefSeq lists it as uncharacterized. The record is from RefSeq and is a predicted model, not a curated record. Lineage: Eukaryota; Metazoa; Chordata; Actinopteri; Salmoniformes; Salmonidae. The transcript is spliced from 3 exons.